ACGUCAUAGAGGGUGAGAAUCCCGUGUGGCGAGGAGUGCGGUUCUAUGUAAAGUGCCUUCGAAGAGUCGAGUUGUUUGGGAAUGCAGCUCUAAGUGGGUGGUAAAUUCCAUCUAAAGCUAAAUAUUGGCGAGAGACCGAUAGCGAACAAGUACAGUGAUGGAAAGAUGAAAAGAACUUUGAAAAGAGAGUGAAAAAGUACGUGAAAUUGUUGAAAGGGAAGGGCAUUUGAUCAGACAUGGUGUUUUGCGCCCUCUGCUCCUUGUGGGUGGGGGAAUCUCGCAGUUCACUGGGCCAGCAUCAGUUUUGGUGGCAGGAUAAAUCCGUAGGAAUGUAACUUGCUUCGGGAAGUAUUAUAGCCUAUGGGAAUACUGCCAACUGGGACUGAGGACUGCGACGUAAGUCAAGGAUGCUGGCAUAAUGGUUAUAUGCC
This 431-nucleotide ribosomal RNA is filed under the name Starmerella stellata. RNAcentral describes it as "eukaryotic LSU rRNA". It matches the Rfam family "Eukaryotic large subunit ribosomal RNA", at positions 200 to 646 of the family's 3401-position model. The record is from RNAcentral. Lineage: Eukaryota; Fungi; Ascomycota; Dipodascomycetes; Dipodascales; Trichomonascaceae.